GUAAGGAAUAUUGGACAAUGGAGGCAACUCUGAUCCAGCCAUCCCGCGUGCAGGACGAAUGCCCUAUGGGUUGUAAACUGCUUUUGUGAGGGAAGAACCGCCCUAAAUUUUUAGGGUUUGACGGUACCUUACGAAUAAGCACCGGCUAACUCCGUGCCAGCAGCCGCGGUAAUACGGAGGGUGCAAGCGUUAUCCGGAAUCACUGGGUUUAAAGGGUGCGUAGGCGGCCUAGUAAGUCAGGGGUGAAAGGUCACGGCUCAACCGUGGAAUUGCCUUUGAUACUGCUGGGCUUGAAUCAGGAUGAGGUCGGCGGAAUGUGGCAUGUAGCGGUGAAAUGCAUAGAUAUGCCAUAGAACACCAAUUGCGAAGGCAGCUGGCUAGACCUUGAUUGACGCUGAGGCACGAAAGCGUGGGGAGCGAACAGGAUUAGAAACCCUUGUAGUCC
This 445-nucleotide ribosomal RNA is filed under the name uncultured bacterium. RNAcentral describes it as "bacterial SSU rRNA". It matches the Rfam family "Bacterial small subunit ribosomal RNA", at positions 354 to 796 of the family's 1533-position model. The record is from RNAcentral.